This 500-nucleotide ribosomal RNA is filed under the name uncultured bacterium. Its description in RNAcentral is "bacterial SSU rRNA". It matches the Rfam family "Bacterial small subunit ribosomal RNA", at positions 46 to 507 of the family's 1533-position model. The record is from RNAcentral.
GCCUAAUACAUGCAAGUCGAACGCACUCUCGUUAGAUUGAAGGAGCUUGCUCCUGUAUUGAUAAACAUUUGAGUGAGUGGCGGACGGGUGAGUAACACGUGGGUAACCUGCCCUAAGUGGGGAUAACAUUUGGAAACAGAUGCUAAUACCGCAUAAAACCUAACACCGCAUGGUGUAGGGUUGAAAGAUGGUUUCGGCUAUCACUUUAGGAUGGACCCGCGGUGCAUUAGUUAGUUGGUGAGGUAAAGGCUCACCAAGACCGUGAUGCAUAGCCGACCUGAGAGGGUAAUCGGCCACACUGGGACUGAGACACGGCCCAGACUCCUACGGGAGGCAGCAGUAGGGAAUCUUCCACAAUGGACGAAAGUCUGAUGGAGCAACGCCGCGUGAGUGAAGAAGGUUUUCGGAUCGUAAAACUCUGUUGUUGGAGAAGAAUGUAUCUGAUAGUAACUGAUCAGGUAGUGACGGUAUCCAACCAGAAAGCCACGGCUAACUACGUG